This is a long non-coding RNA of Panthera uncia (snow leopard), 538 nucleotides long. RefSeq lists it as uncharacterized. Lineage: Eukaryota; Metazoa; Chordata; Mammalia; Carnivora; Felidae. The record is from RefSeq and is a predicted model, not a curated record. The transcript has 5 exons.
GAAAAUUUUAAACUUACUGUUCAUGGAAAUCCAGCAUUGGUGGCUCAAAUCGUAUAGGUCUGCAAUUACCCCGGUACAGAGAUAUACUAAAUGAGAAUCUAUUCCCCAAGUUGCAAAUGGAAGCAUCUAAAGUGGUCAGGAAGACCAACCUGCAACUAUCCAUGGACAUGGCACUUAUUGUGAAAAUCCCAGAACACAGCAGUGAGGAUGAAGAACCCUCCUGGACCACAGAGACUGAAAAGGACUACAUUAGAAAGAACACACAGGUAACUAAACAGAAUUAGAAAAAAAAUGCCUGAAUGAAAUGAGAAGUUCAACAAAGAAACAAACUAUAAAAAAACAACAACAACCAAACAGAAAUCCUAAAGAUAAAGAAUAUAAUAAUUGGACUGAAGAAUUCAACAGAGAGCUUCAGCAACAGAUCUGACCAUCAGAAGAAAGAAUCAAUGAACUGAAAGCUGAAUUUUGAAAUCUCCAACUAUAAUUGUGAAUUUGCCUUCAUUUCUGUUUUUUUCAUUUACUUGGAACAAAUAUUUGG